This 8329-nucleotide long non-coding RNA is filed under the name Homo sapiens (human). RNAcentral describes it as "HSALNT0243627". The record is from RNAcentral. Lineage: Eukaryota; Metazoa; Chordata; Mammalia; Primates; Hominidae.
CUGCGCUGUGCUGUGUGCCUUGCAAGAGUGACUUACCACAUGAGGAGCAGCAGGCCUGGCUCCUGCCCAGGAGGCACCUGGCCUAGAUCUCAGCGUCACUGCGGAGUUAACCAAGGGAAGCGGCACCAGCAUCACACCCUGUUCCAGCCAACAGUCUCCAGCGUCCCUGACAGAUGUCGGGAAGUUCUUUUCCCCGUAAGAUCCCGGAGAAUGUCCUGAGGCUGCCGUGUGGAAGCUCUGGGGCCUUUCUCGUCUCCCACUGCCAGCUUAAUGAGCUGUGCUGGUAGCAACAGAUGGCGCCCCGCAGGGUCUCACUUGGGUAAGGCUCUCUCCCUCAAUCCUCCAGCUGCCCCCGCUAGCAGGCUGUAGUCAUGCCCUGAUCUGGCCUUUCUGCUGCGGAGGGGAAGCUUGGGAAAAAGAGAAAGAAAGGAGAGAGAUCCCGGCGGGAUCAUGCGAAGGGAGAAAAAUCAAGCUGGGUGAAAAGCAGAUAGCUUGGAAAGUUCCUGGACACCAGUUGGACUUGCCGCGAAAACCAUUAAUCUGGCCUUUCAGAGAAAAUCUUCAGAAGAAUGUAUUUGCAAGGUGAAUUAUGAGGAUUUAGGAUUUGCCCUCAAAUUUCUCUUUCAGGCUGCUCUUCAAAUAAAUAUUUCCCCAUCCAAAAGAGACCACAGUUAUUUUAGAUGUUUGUCUCUUAACAUCUGAAUGCACUGCUUUUUCUUAGCUUUACAAGAACCUGUCCUCACAAUAAUCCACUCUACAGCUGAAAAGUCUUCUUACUCCUGCAAAUCUGAACCCAGUAAUGACUAACAUUGCACCCAAUAAGAAGUGAGGAUAAUUUCAGAACACUUGGCUUUGCUUUAAAGGGCAAGAUUUUGGAAGCAGGUUCACAGGACUCCAUCCAGAUCUGUCUUCCUGGCACACAGCUCAGGGGACCAUGCCCAAGCUCCAGGUGACAGCAGAGGGCAGGAGAGGGGACGCUUGCUUCCCACAUGUCUGGCCCUAGGGUAGGGAGCUCGUUAGGACUCCAGGUGCCAGAAUCCCACAGCACAGUGGCCUCUGGAUGCCCCUUCGUGUCCUGGAAAGGAGAGGCGGCUCCUCUCCAACUCAGGGUGGGGCUGGGAGAGGUCUUGACAGCAGGCAGGCCUUGGAGGCCACCGCAGCUCCCCAAAUGUCCCUGUGCCUCUGCACUCGCUGGGCCUGCUAGCUGUUCUGGGUCUCAAGGGUAUAUAUACAAUUCUGAACAUGUAACUAAGAACAUGUAACUCCACUAGGCUCAUAUCUCACCCUACACCAGCGUUCAUGAUGUGGGAUUUCUGAGCUGACUGCACGUGAGACCCGGCCAGGUCUUGACUCACUGCCUGAAUUUUCCACGUCUUUCUGGAGAUAAAGCCUUUCUCUGGCUUGGUGAAUGCUGUCUGAUUCUUCAUCUUUUUCCAUUUGGCAUUUUGCUUUGAAACUCAGAGUGUUGUAAAAGUAGUUGUACCUGCAUUUAUGUUAGAGAUUCUAAAAAAUACAACUCUGAGCUGGGUGCUGUGGCUCAUGUCUGUAAUCCUAGCACUCUGGGAGGCCAAGGCGGGAGGAUCACUUGAGCCCAGGAGUUCAAGACCAGCCUGGGCAACAAAGCAAGACCUCGUCUCCAUAAAAAGUAAAAAAAAUGGCUAGGUGUGGUGGCUCAUGCCUGUAACCCCAGUACUCUGGGAGGCCAAGGUGGGUGGAUCACCUGAGGUCGGGAGUUCAAGACCAGCCUGACCAACAUGGAGAAACCCUGUCUCUACUAAAAAUACAAAAUUAGCUGGGCAUGGUGGCGCAUGUCUGUAAUCCCAGCUACUCGGGAGGCUGAGGCAGGAUAAUUGCUUGAGUCCGGGAGGCGGAGGUUGCCGUAAGCCGAGAUCGCGCCAUUGCACUUCAGCCUGGGCAACAAGAGUGAAACUCUGUCUCAAAACAACAACAACAACAAAACAAAACAAAAACAAAACAAGUAAAAAAUUAGCCAGGCAUAGUGGCGUGUGCCUGUAGUCACAGCUACUUGGGAGGCCGGGGUCAGAGGAUCACUUGAGCCCAGGAGUUUGAGGUUGCAGUGACCUAUGAUUGCACCAGUACACUUCAGCCUGGGCAACACAGUAAGACCCCAUCUCUAUAAUCAAUCAAUCAGUCAAUCAAUAAAAUACAACUCUGAUUUUGUAAAGAAAAAAAGAUGUUUUGGGAGGACAACCUUAAGACAAAGAAAACAAAGUUUUCUAGUCCCAUCUCCUCAUUACCUGCUGCUGUCAUGUGCUAGGAAUAAUAAUGCAAUAAUUAAUUGAGUUGCCACAGCGGCAGGGACUGUCCUAAAGGCUGGAUGUAUGUUUUAUCAUUGAGUUCUCACAGCAAUCCCAGCAGGCAGGAUCUGUUUCUCCCCAUUGUACAGAUGAGGAAACUGAGGCACAGAAAUGCUUUACUUGGCCAAAGGUAGACAGCAAAUAAAUGGGGCCCAGAUGCAAAUGCAAACAUUUUGACUCCAAAACACUUGCCCAUAAACCGCAUGCGCCACUGCAUGGAGAGAUAUAACAAGGACCACCACAAGUCACUCAUCCAGAAGCAGUUUCAUGGACUAUACAAACUUAAUUUAAACGUGUGAAUUCCUUCUAACAGGAUGAAGAGCAAUCUGAUGCCUUCUCAGUUACAAAUCUGUUUGUAGAGGGCAUUGAUAGUUCCUAUAUUUUAAAUAGUUGUUUUGGAGGUUCUAGAUGGCAGAUUACAUACAAAGAAAAAUGCUUUUUUGAUGACAUGGAUUAUCAUUACAUAGAUUUGCAGUGAGUCGAGCCAUGUUCCCCAGCUAUAUAUUUUUUUUUCAGUAAAAGUCUGGUAUAACACAGGAAGUUAUACCAGAUUCUACUUCUGUAGCCUAUUAGGCAGAUGUUGCGAAGGAAUUUCACUGUGUUUGAUGCUUCAAUUUCGUACAGAAUCUCAGGUCUGACAUGGAAGAAGUUUUGAUGACUUACUGCCAACUUUGUAUCACCCCCAAAAUGCUUUAGAGAAAUAUCUCUCUACAGAGGAAAGCAAGGAACUGUGACUUUAACUAGUGAAUUGGAUCAACGUGUCCAGCUAAUUCAGGUACCAAAUCCUAUUUUUCUGUAACAGCAGAAAACUGUCACGACUGCCACUGAGCUCAACUUUUCCUGAACAGACUCAGCUAAAAUCCUUGCCAUGUCUCAGUUCUCAUUUCACUAUGCUAAUUAGGGAGCCCAGAGGGUGAGUCUACACAUGUAAAAUGGAUGGAUCUUAACACAUCGAUGCUUUGUUUUUAGCCAGAUUGCUGCACAACUGAUUCCACUUCUGCAGCAACUGCCAUCCAUCACCAGGACUGCUCUGCCUGGGGACAGCCAGGCCACAGCCCUGCUGACGUCUGCAUGGGUCUUGGACGUGGUCUAGGGCCAGAACGCAGUGAUGAAGCUGGUGGUUUGUAGAGGCUUUUACUACAAGUAACAUCCCUCAUUUGAUGAAAUAGAUAUCUUUCUGCCAACUUGGCUCUGUCACUGAAACCUGGUGUUUUUGUCUGGUAAUUCUUCAAAUUUGAUGUUUUAAAGAAUGUUAAGUGAAUUAAUUCCUCCUUUUUGUCAGUGCUAUAAGUUCCAUACAGAGUUUGCUCAGUCUGAAGUACAUCUGUAUUAAUUAGACAAACUAAAGCAUUGGGUGGAUCUAAACGGUUCCUUUUAAUGAUUUUUCUCCACGAUGACAAGGCACACUAUACAAACAACCACCUGAUUUUAGCAAGAGGGCUAAAAAUUAUAUUGCAUAAAUGGAGUUGCAUUAUUUAAACUUAAAUUCAGGCCAGGUGCGGUGGCUCACGCCUGUAAUCCUAGCACUUUGGGAGGCAGAGGCAGGCGGAUCCUUGAGAUCAGAAGUUCGAGACCAGCCUGGACAACAUGGUGAAACCCUGUCUCUACUAAAAAUACAAAAAUUACCCGGAAAUCGCUUGAACCGGGGAGGCGGAGGUUGCAGUGAGCUGAGAUCGUGCCACUGCACUCCAGCCUGGGCAACAGAGCGAGACUCUGUCUCAACAGAAACAAACAAACAAAAACAACAACAACAAAAAACAAAAAAACCCUGAAAUUCAAACUUUUGCCAUUAAAAACAUCCUCAAUUCGAUAAAUUACAACUUGUAUUUUGAAAUAUUGGUGGAAUGACCUUACCUGCUCUAUUUCAACCUUAAACAGCUGAAUUAAAAGCCUAAUUCCUACCAAAAGUCUUUAAAAUGAGAAAUUAACUGUGAUGAUACUUUCCCCUGAUUAAAUAAGAAGCAAGAGCUGGGGCUUUGCCUGAGAGGACAUCAUUUCAGAAGUCAAUUUGGUUUUGACUUCGUUAAAGCAAUAAAAUGUGGGUGGUUAAUCUGAGUGAAAGCUGCCAUGUUCUAAAAAUGCGUGAAGACUUAACUGGAUGGGUGGUUGCACCGCAGAAGCUAUUUAGGAUUGGAAAGUAGCUGUGAUUUGGAUUUUAAUGAAUUGCACACUGUUGACGAAUUCUUCAGCAGUUAGCCUGGAUCCUUUCCACUCAACUUAGACCUUUCUGCCUAGUUACUCCAACUUAAACCUCAGUUCCUGGAGGAAUCAAGUUUGUCUUAUAGCUGUUGUCUUUGAUGGAGAUGAGCCCGAGAGACAUUAAAGUUUCAGUGAAUUUUAUCCCCUUUCUGGAUACUAUUAAAUCACUCCUGCCCCAGGCAGAAGACUGGUCUUUACUCUAAGGCAGCUAAAGAGUGACUAUUUUUCCAAAUUGCACAAAAGGGAGAAUUUAUCAAGCACCUUUUCUCUCAGAGAGGACAAACCCAGAACAGGAAAACUUUAUUACUUUCUCUCUUGGCUAUAAAUUAUGCUAUUCAGAUGUAUUUGAAAGCUUCUCUUUAUGCUCUUGCUUGAGCCAUAAAACUUGAUACCUGGGGCCAAAUGCCUUUAUCCCCAAGAAGGGUGAAGAAGAUGAAAAGGCAGCAGCUCUAGGCGGAAGCCACACAAAUGACUGGGCAGAAAAUGCGGGCGGUGGAGAAAGUUACAUUGCACGAUUCAUGCCUCUUUGACCUUAUAUUCUACUCUGAAAUUAAUGUUACUGUUUGCAUAGGAUCACUGGCCUUUCGAAACCUGAAUUAGCCAUUCAGAAAACACUAGGUUUAACCAAUACCAUCAAUUUGAUUGUUGUUGUUAUACUUAUUUAUUUUUGAGGCGGGGUCUUGCUCUGUUGCCCAGGCUGAAGUGCAGUGGUGCCAUCUUGGCUUACUGCAACCUCCACCUCCCGGGUUCAAGCGAUUCUCCUGCCUCAGCCUCCCGAGUAGCUGGGAUUACAGGAUUAUACCUGUUUAAUUUUUGUAUUUUUAGUAGAGACAGGAUUUCACCACGCUGGCCAGGCUGGUCUUGGACUCCUGACCUCAAGUGAUCCGCCGGCCUCAGCCUCUCAAAGUGCUGGGAUUACAGGCGUGAGCCACCGUGCUCGGCCUGUUGUUGUUAUUUUUAAUACCGGGAUUUUAGAUCUGAUGAAUUUCAAUAAGCCAGCCACUCACCUGGAGAGGGUUCGCUGGGGUCCACUUUCUCUGCUUUCCUUACAGUCAUGGUACUUUUAUGUUUCUGCUUGACUGAUGUUUGGUCAAUUGCUGGAAGUUUGGAGUCACACUUAAAUGCAGAUAUCUUGAUAGAUGACCUUGGUUCAGUUAGAGCAUCCUCCUCACUAGAACUCUACCAAAAAUGAAAUACGUCUGAGUCUCAGUGGCCAAGUAGGUCAACUUUGUUAGGCAGAGAAAACAGAAAUGAGGCAAAUGCAGUGACCCUCUCCAGCAAUAAUCCUAGAGUCUUCUGCCAGGUCAACACGCCCGUUCACCAGAGAGAUUCAGAUGGACUGGGCAGAGCAACUUAGAAAUAAUGGCAGAGUUAGUGAGUCUGUUUUGUAGAACAUUAUGAAAGAAUGCAUUUUUCUGUGAGUGUGUUUUGUAGAACGUUAUGAAAAGAAUGCAUUUCUGACCCUUAAGUAAUUUGAUGACAGAUAAAUAGCGCAUGUGCUUUUAAACUUCUUAUUGUUUGUUAUUUGAACUACUUUGGAGAUAGGCUAGAAGAAAAAAUGUUCCUUAUGUUAAUCAUACAUUUGACAAUGAAAAGGAAAUGUAGAUAGUGUGACGGAGGCAGAUUAAAUCAGACCUCAGUUUCAAUACUCUGCGUUACUGGGUGCAACACGAGACAGACUAAUCUUUUAAAAAGUCCCCUCCUUGUCACUCUUCUAUAAAGAAGUCAGUAUAAAUCUAUGCAUGGACAAAUCAUGAUUCCUGCUGUGUCAGAAUAUCUCAACACAGCCAUGCCGACGCAAUAAAAAUUAUCCAGGCAUGGAACAGCUUUAUACUUGGCCACACUUACACCCACCAAAGAAAGGAUGAAAACAAUAUAAAUAUCAGAAACCUGGUCUUAAAGGUGAUUUAAGUACAGCCUGAUGGCUUUAGGUCCUGGUGUUGGUAUGACUUGCUAGGCUAUCCAUUCUGCAACAAAUAAAUCACUAGGUUCCCCCUUCCCCGACCCUGGGGGGUCGUUGCGGUGGGGGUGGAGGGGGGCACUAAGCUCUCUCCUCCAUUGCACAUUAGUCCAGUGUUGGAAAGUCCUGUGAAAAUGUGGUCUUUUGCAGGCAUAGAAUGCUAAAUUAACAUCCCUGGUACCUCCCCAACUGUUGCAAUUUGUAUUGAUCUUGCUCACCGUUCUCCCUGUCAGUUGUGGCAUUUUCAUUUCACAGGCUCCUGACUCAGGAAAAUACUCUGAGUAGCUUUGAAUUAUUGGGUGUGAUGUAAGACAAACUAAAUUCUAAAAAAGUCCUCUACUUGUCAGUCUUCUGUAAAGAAGUCUACAUAAAUCUACAGGUGGACACAUCAUUAUGCUCCAAGAUGAUGAAUCAUAUUUUAAAUUUAGAGUUUGGAUACAGCCUUCAAACAAAUAAUUCUUGUUUCUCCGCACAAUUUCAGAAAACAGACCACCCUCAGAUAAAAGAACCAGAAAAGCACAAGACACAACAAACUGACUGUUCUCCCCUUUCCUUUUCGAUUUUGCUAUUUAAUUGAAAUCCUUGCAAAUAACUCUGAAAUGUCAAAGAUGAAACAUUAGGUCAUUUCUUUUUUCUUUUUUUCUUUUUUUUGAGACAAAGUUUCACUCUUAUUGCCCAGGCUGGAGUGAAAUGGUGCCACCUUGGCUCACUGCAACCUCCGCCUCUCGGGUUCAAGCAAUUCUCCUGCCUCAGCCUCCUGAGUAGCUGGGAUUACAGGCACCCACCAUCAUACCCGGCUAAUUUUUGUAUUUUUAGUAGAGACGGGGUUUCGUUAUGUUGGCCAGGCUGGUCUCGAACUCCUGACCUUAGGUGAUCAACCCAUCUCAGCCUCCCAAAGUUCUGGGAUUAUAGGCGUGAGCCACUGUGCCUGGCUAAAACAUUAGGUCAUUUCUGAACAUGAGAUAGGUUCUCUAUUCUCAGAAAAGAAAAUGCGGGCACAUUUUAAGUAUGACACCUAAGAAUGUCAUUGUAAUUGGGUCCUGGAAGUCACAGUCCUGGAACUGGGUCCCAAGAAGAGCAUCAAUGAAUAAGGGACAGAAUUUCUUCCAUAAACUGCCCAACAAAAUCAGCUCACUGCAGUGGGUUAAGUCAACUCCCACAGGGCCCUGCAAGUGAGCCCUUUAUUUCCAGCCAGCAGAAAGGCAGGAAAAAUGCUCCAGGCGAGGAUGACCAACACCUGUGUCAGCAGCAGUAGCAGCAGCAGCAGCAGCAGGUGUCCGCUCAGCUCAUCUUCGCGGAUCCAUUUCCAUUACCCCCAGCCAGGGCCGGAAUUCUUGGCUUGCCCCAGGCUGUGGUGAAUAGGGAGGAGACCUUUAUUGGUUGAGCUGUUAAGCCACGUUUAUCCUUCCUCCACCCAUUCAUUAAACCUCAAGCCUUUAGUGCACUGAAGAGGUGAAAGCUUGGCCAAUUAAAUCAUCCUGUUACCUACGGGAUUGUGAGCCUACAUUGUGAAUACAUCCUUCUCUGGUUCAAUCAACCUUAUUUCUAGGUAGUAAUCAUUAAGAGUCUAGAAAUUGCAGCUAGAAGUUGGUGUUUUAUCAGUUGUAAACCGAAGGUACAAUGGCAAGAAGUGUAAUACUUACAAAUGUGUUAAUGGACUUUUUUCCUGCUUGCCUCAUUGAGAAAUCUUAAAUAAAUCACGUCCACCUUUUGGUCUUUAUUCUGUCUUCUUACGUUCUCAGCCAUUCCCAUCUAUCCUCUUUCUUUCUUUUUUCUGGAGACAGAGUCUUGCUCUGUCACCCAGGCUGGAGUGCAAUAGCGCGAUCUCGGUUCACUGCAACCUCGACCUCCC